RNAcentral lists this ribosomal RNA (254 nucleotides) under uncultured bacterium. Its description in RNAcentral is "partial 16S ribosomal RNA". It matches the Rfam family "Bacterial small subunit ribosomal RNA", at positions 524 to 776 of the family's 1533-position model. The record is from RNAcentral.
GACGUAGGGCGCAAGCGUUGUCCGGAAUUAUUGGGCGUAAAGAGCUCGUAGGCGGCUUGUUGCGUCGACUGUGAAAACCCGUGGCUCAACCAUGUGGUCUGCAGUCGAUACGGGCAGGCUAGAAUUCGGUAGGGGAGACUGGAAUUCCUGGUGUAGCGGUGAAAUGCGCAGAUAUCAGGAGGAACACCGAUGGCGAAGGCAGGUCUCUGGGCCACUACUGACGCUGAGAAGCGAAAGCGUGGGGAGCGAACAGG